This 164-nucleotide ribosomal RNA is filed under the name uncultured bacterium. RNAcentral's name for it is "partial 16S rRNA". It matches the Rfam family "Bacterial small subunit ribosomal RNA", at positions 355 to 511 of the family's 1533-position model. The record is from RNAcentral.
UAGGGAAUCUUCCACAAUGGGCGCAAGCCUGAUGGAGCAACGCCGCGUGUGUGNUGAAGGCUUUCGGGUCGUAAAGCACUGUUGUAUGGGAAGAAAUGCUAGAAUAGGGAAUGACUCUAGUUCGACGGUACCAUACCAGAAAGGGACGGCUAAAUACGUGCCAG